Molecule: small nucleolar RNA, 107 nt
Filed under: Gossypium arboreum
Lineage: Eukaryota; Viridiplantae; Streptophyta; Magnoliopsida; Malvales; Malvaceae
Description: Plant small nucleolar RNA R71
Rfam family: Plant small nucleolar RNA R71
About the family: R71 is a member of the C/D box family of snoRNAs containing the C (UGAUGA) and D (CUGA) box motifs.
Source: Rfam by way of RNAcentral
AACCCAUGGUGAAGGCAUCUUCUCAAUAAAUCUUUAUAACUCUCCCAUGCAUCAUAGAGUGUCCCUAAAUCCAUUUGUACGAAGGAAGAGAUAUCAUUCCUCAGCUU